Molecule: transfer RNA, 75 nt
Filed under: Ruminiclostridium sp.
Lineage: Bacteria; Bacillati; Bacillota; Clostridia; Eubacteriales; Oscillospiraceae
Also listed under: 1 other name
Description: tRNA-Glu
Rfam family: tRNA
About the family: Transfer RNA (tRNA) molecules are approximately 80 nucleotides in length.
Source: RNAcentral
GGCCCAUUGGUCAAGUGGUUAAGACAUCGCCCUUUCACGGCGGUAACGAGGGUUCGAGUCCCUCAUGGGUCACCA